UCGAGUUUUUGAACGCAAGUUGCGCCCGAGGCCAGCCGGCCAAGGGCACGUCCGCCUGGGCGUCAAGUGUUGCGUCGCUCCGUGCCAACUCCAUCACACCUAUGCGUGUGUCGGCCAAGGCUCGGACGUGCAGAGUGGCUCAUCGUGCCAAUUGGUGCGG
This 160-nucleotide ribosomal RNA is filed under the name Corallorhiza odontorhiza. Its description in RNAcentral is "5.8S ribosomal RNA". Lineage: Eukaryota; Viridiplantae; Streptophyta; Magnoliopsida; Asparagales; Orchidaceae. The record is from RNAcentral.